This 76-nucleotide transfer RNA is filed under the name Candidatus Sungiibacteriota bacterium. RNAcentral's name for it is "Candidatus Sungbacteria bacterium tRNA-Asn". It matches the Rfam family "tRNA". Rfam says of the family: Transfer RNA (tRNA) molecules are approximately 80 nucleotides in length. Their secondary structure includes four short double-helical elements and three loops (D, anti-codon, and T loops). Further hydrogen bonds mediate the characteristic L-shaped molecular structure. tRNAs have two regions of fundamental functional importance: the anti-codon, which is responsible for specific mRNA codon recognition, and the 3' end, to which the tRNAs corresponding amino acid is attached (by aminoacyl-tRNA synthetases). tRNAs cope with the degeneracy of the genetic code in two manners: having more than one tRNA (with a specific anti-codon) for a particular amino acid; and 'wobble' base-pairing, i.e. permitting non-standard base-pairing at the 3rd anti-codon position. The record is from RNAcentral. Lineage: Bacteria; Candidatus Sungiibacteriota.
UGCAGGGUCGGAUAACUGGCAAUCCAACGGACUGUUAAUCCGUACGAUGAGGGUUCGAAUCCCUCCCCUGCAGCCA